RNAcentral lists this non-coding RNA (28 nucleotides) under Homo sapiens (human). Lineage: Eukaryota; Metazoa; Chordata; Mammalia; Primates; Hominidae. The record is from RNAcentral.
UGAGGUCCCAUUAAUAGCUGAUAGGAGG